Molecule: ribosomal RNA, 315 nt
Filed under: uncultured soil bacterium
Lineage: Bacteria
Description: bacterial SSU rRNA
Rfam family: Bacterial small subunit ribosomal RNA
Source: RNAcentral
GGAUUGAACGCUGGCGGCAUGCCUAACACAUGCAAGUCGAACGGGAGUAGCAAUACUCUAGUGGCGGACGGGUGAGGAAUACGUAGGAAUUUGCCCUUAAGUGGGGGAUAACCCGGGGAACCCGGAUUAAUACCGCAUGACCUCGAAAGAGCAAAGUGGGGGAUCGCAAGACCUCACGCUUUUGGAGAAGCCGACGUCGGAUUAGCUAGUUGGUGAGGUAAUGGCUCACCAAGGCGACGAUCCGUAACUGGUCUGAGAGGAUGAUCAGUCACACCGGAACUGAGACACGGUCCGGACUCCUACGGGAGCAGCAGU